RNAcentral lists this ribosomal RNA (924 nucleotides) under marine metagenome. RNAcentral describes it as "bacterial SSU rRNA". It matches the Rfam family "Bacterial small subunit ribosomal RNA", at positions 446 to 1371 of the family's 1533-position model. The record is from RNAcentral.
CAAUAAGUUAAUACCUUAUUGCCGUGAUGUUACCUGCAGAAUAAGCACCGGCUAAUUCCGUGCCAGCAGCCGCGGUAAUACGGAAGGUGCAAGCGUUAAUCGGAAUUACUGGGCGUAAAGCGCGCGUAGGUGGUUUGUUAAGUUGGAUGUGAAAGCCCUGGGCUCAACCUAGGAACUGCAUCCAAAACUAACUCACUAGAGUACGAUAGAGGGAGGUAGAAUUCAUAGUGUAGCGGUGGAAUGCGUAGAUAUUAUGAAGAAUACCAGUGGCGAAGGCGGCCUCCUGGAUCUGUACUGACACUAAGGUGCGAAAGCGUGGGUAGCGAACAGGAUUAGAUACCCUGGUAGUCCACGCCGUAAACGAUGACAACUAGCUGUUGGGAGACAAUGUCUUUCAGUGGCGCAGCUAACGUUUUAAGUUGUCCGCCUGGGGAGUACGGCCGCAAGGCUAAAACUCAAAUGAAUUGACGGGGACCCGCACAAGCGGUGGAGCAUGUGGUUUAAUUCGAUGCAACGCGAAAAACCUUACCUACUCUUGACAUACUUGGAAGCUCUUGUAAUGAGAGUGUGCCUUUUGGAGCCAAGAUACAGGUGCUGCAUGGCUGUCGUCAGCUCGUGUCGUGAGAUGUUCCGUUAAGUCGGAUAACGAGCGCAACCCUUACCCUUAUUUGCCAGCGAUUCGGUCGGGAACUAUAAGGGGACUGCCGGUGAUAAACCGGAGGAAGGUGAGGACGACGUCAAGUCAUCAUGGCCCUUACGAGUAGGGCUACACACGUGCUACAAUGGGGAAUACAGACGGACGCUAAGCCGCGAGGUGGUGCUAAUCCUAUAAAGUUCUUCGUAGUCCGGAUUGGAGUCUGCAACUCGACUCCAUGAAGUCGGAAUCGCUAGUAAUCGCGAAUCAGCAUGUCGCGGUGAAUACGU